Molecule: non-coding RNA, 28 nt
Filed under: Homo sapiens (human)
Lineage: Eukaryota; Metazoa; Chordata; Mammalia; Primates; Hominidae
Source: RNAcentral
UGGUAGCACAGUACUAGGAAAUGGGAUC